RNAcentral lists this long non-coding RNA (1146 nucleotides) under Sus scrofa (pig). Its description in RNAcentral is "lncRNA (ENSSSCG00025021240.1)". The record is from RNAcentral. Lineage: Eukaryota; Metazoa; Chordata; Mammalia; Artiodactyla; Suidae.
GGCUGCGUUACCACCGACCAGUCCUCAGCCGGCAACAUGAAGCUGGGUGGCCUCUGCCUCCUGCUCCUCCUCGCCGUCCUUCUCACCCUCAAUGCAGAGUUCCAAGCAGUUGAUGUAGGUAUCUGUGUGACGGAGUGCAAGGUAGACCAGGACUGUGGGGCAGGAAGACGAUGCACCAGCAAUGGAUGUGGCCGGGUCUGCUCCCCAGUCCGGCGAAGAGAGGCCUGCGAGCACCAGUGCAGAGAAGACAGGGACUGUGGGAGUGGACAUCAGUGCGUGAGGAAGGGCUGUGGGCACGUCUGCGCCCCCGUCCAUCAAGUCGGUAUCUGUGUGACGGAGUGCAACGUAGACCAGGACUGUGGGGAAGGAAGACAAUGCACCAGCAAUGGGUGUGGCCGUGUCUGCUCCCCAGUCCAGCAAGAAGAUGUAGGUAUCUGUGUGACGGAGUGCAAGGUAGACCAGGACUGUGGGGAAGGAAGACGAUGCACCAGCAAUGGGUGUGGCCGUGUCUGCUCCCCAGUCCAGCAAAAAGAGGCCUGCGAGCACCAGUGCAGAGAAGACAGGGACUGUGGGAGUGGACAUCAGUGCGUGAGGAAGGGCUGUGGGCACGUCUGCGCCCCCGUCCAUCAAGUCGAUGUAGGUAUCUGUGUGACGGAGUGCCGUGUAGACCAGGACUGUGGGGAAGGAAGACAAUGCACCAGCAAUGGAUGUGGCCGUGUCUGCUCCCCAGCCCAGCAAAGAGAGGCCUGCGAGCACCAAUGCAGAGAAGACAAGGACUGUGGGAGUGGACAUCAGUGCGUGAGGAAGGGCUGUGGGCACGUCUGCUCCCCCAUCCCUCAAGUAGGUAUCUGUGUGACGGAGUGCAAUGUAGACCAGGACUGUGGGGCAGGAAGACGAUGCACCAGCAAUGGAUGUGGCCGUGUCUGCUCCCCACCCCAGGGAGGAGGACUCUGUGUGGACCGCUGCCGAGGAAACUGGGACUGUGGGGCCGGAGAAGAAUGUAUCAGGAAGGGAUGUGGACGGGUCUGCUCUCCAGCCCAGGAGCCAGGUAAGAGCCCUGCCUAGGUCUCCAACCCCACACAACCCAGGAGGGGACUGUGUGCUUACCUCUGCCUGGACUCCCCUUCCUUAGAGGGUUAAUUCCCA